GAUGAACGCUAGCUACAGGCUUAACACGUGCAAGUCGCGGGGCAGCAUGGGGGUUGCUUGCAAUCCCCGAUGGCGACCGGCGCACGGGUGAGUAACGCGUAUCCAACCUGCCCUUCACCACGGGAUAACCCGGCGAAAGUCGGACUAAUACCGUAUGUUGUCCAUUGACGGCAUCCGAUUUGGACGAAAGGCUUGGCGGUGAGGGAUGGGGAUGCGUCCGAUUAGCCAGACGGCGGGGUAACGGCCCACCGUGGCUACGAUCGGUAGGGGUUCUGAGAGGAAGGUCCCCCACACUGGAACUGAGACACGGUCCAGACUCCUACGGGAGGCAGCAGUGAGGAAUAGUGGUCAAGGGGCGUAAGCCUGAACCAGCCAAGUAGCGUGCAGGAUGACGGCCCUAUGGGUUGUAAACUGCUUUUAUGCGGGGAUAAAGUGGCCCACGGGUGGGCUUUUGCAGGUACCGCAUGAAUAAGGACCGGCUAAUUCCGUG
This 490-nucleotide ribosomal RNA is filed under the name uncultured bacterium. Its description in RNAcentral is "partial 16S ribosomal RNA". It matches the Rfam family "Bacterial small subunit ribosomal RNA", at positions 28 to 507 of the family's 1533-position model. The record is from RNAcentral.